GACUCUCAGCGGUGGAUCACUCGGCUUGUGCAUCGAUGAAGGACGCAGCUAGCCACGAAAACUAAUGUGAAUUGCAAUACACAUUGAUCAUCGACAUUUCGAAUGCACCUUGCAGCCCCGGGUCCCUCCUGGGGCCACGCCUGUCUGAGCGUCG
This 154-nucleotide ribosomal RNA is filed under the name Hippocampus comes (tiger tail seahorse). Its description in RNAcentral is "5.8S ribosomal RNA (ENSHCOG00000012562.1)". It matches the Rfam family "5.8S ribosomal RNA". From Rfam's summary of the family: 5.8S ribosomal RNA (5.8S rRNA) is a component of the large subunit of the eukaryotic ribosome. It is transcribed by RNA polymerase I as part of the 45S precursor that also contains 18S and 28S rRNA. Lineage: Eukaryota; Metazoa; Chordata; Actinopteri; Syngnathiformes; Syngnathidae. The record is from RNAcentral.